Molecule: ribosomal RNA, 687 nt
Filed under: uncultured bacterium
Lineage: Bacteria
Description: bacterial SSU rRNA
Rfam family: Bacterial small subunit ribosomal RNA
Source: RNAcentral
AGGAACCUGCCUUGGAGUGGGGAAUAACAGCUGGAAACAGCUGCUAAUACCGCAUAAUAUAUCUGGGCCGCAUGGCUCUGGAUAUCAAAGAUUUAUCGCUCUGAGAUGGACUCGCGUCUGAUUAGCUGGUUGGCGGGGUAACGGCCCACCAAGGCGACGAUCAGUAGCCGGACUGAGAGGUUGGCCGGCCACAUUGGGACUGAGACACGGCCCAGACUCCUACGGGAGGCAGCAGUGGGGAAUAUUGGGCAAUGGGCGCAAGCCUGACCCAGCAACGCCGCGUGAAGGAAGAAGGCUUUCGGGUUGUAAACUUCUUUUGUCAGGGACGAAGCAAGUGACGGUACCUGACGAAUAAGCCACGGCUAACUACGUGCCAGCAGCCGCGGUAAUACGUGGGUGGCAAGCGUUAUCCGGAUUUACUGGGUGUAAAGGGCGUGUAGGCGGGACUGCAAGUCAGAUGUGAAAACCACGGGCUCAACCUGUGGCCUGCAUUUGAAACUGUAGUUCUUGAGUACUGGAGAGGCAGACGGAAUUCCUAGUGUAGCGGUGAAAUGCGUAGAUAUUAGGAGGAACACCAGUGGCGAAGGCGGUCUGCUGGACAGCAACUGACGCUGAGGCGCGAAAGCGUGGGAGCAAACAGGAUUAGAUACCCUGGUAGUCACGCUGUAACGAUGGANUACUAGGUGU